GACGAACGCUGGCGGCGUGCUUCAUACAUGCAAGUCGAACGAGAAGCUGACUUCGGUCAGUGGAAAGUGGCGGACGGGUGAGUAAUAUGUAGGAAAUCUGCCUUUAGGAGGGGGACAACAGAGGGAAACUUCUGCUAAUACCCCAUAUGAGCGUAGCUGAAAUGCUAUUCUUGAAAACUCCGGUGCCUAAAGAUGAGCCUGCAUCUGAUUAGCUAGUUGGUAGUGUAAUGGACUACCAAGGCGACGAUCAGUAGCUGGUUUGAGAGGAUGAUCAGCCACAAUGGGACUGAGACACGGCCCAUACUCCUACGGGAGGCAGCAGUAGGGAAUUUUGCGCAAUGGGCGAAAGCCUGACGCAGCAACGCCGUGUGAACGAUUAAGCCCUUCGGGGUGUAAAGUUCUGUCAGUAGGGACGAAACUUGACGGUACCCACAGAGGAAGCACCGGCUAACUCCGUG
This 458-nucleotide ribosomal RNA is filed under the name uncultured bacterium. RNAcentral's name for it is "partial 16S ribosomal RNA". It matches the Rfam family "Bacterial small subunit ribosomal RNA", at positions 28 to 507 of the family's 1533-position model. The record is from RNAcentral.